CCUACGGGUGGCUGCAGUGGGGAAUAUUGGUCAAUGGGCGCAAGCCUGACCCAGCCACGCCGCGUGAAGGAAGAAGGCUUUCCGGUUGUAAACUUCUUUUGUCAGGGAAGAGUAGAAGACGGUACCUGCCGAAUAAGCCACGGCUAACUACGUGCCAGCAGCCGCGGUAAUACGUAGGUGGCAAGCGUUAUCCGGAUUUACUGGGUUUAAAGGGCGUGUAGAUGGGUUGUCAAGUCAGAUGUGAAAUCCUGCGGCUUAACCGCAGAACUGCAUUUGAAACUGUUGAUCUUGAGUACUGGAGAGGCAGACGGAAGUCGUAGUGUAGCGGUGAAAUGCGUAGAUAUUAGGAGGAACACCAGUGGCGAAGGCAGUCUGCUGGACAGCAACUGACGGUGAGGCGCGAAAGCGUGGGGAGCAAACAGGAUUAGAUACCCGAGUAGUC
This 442-nucleotide ribosomal RNA is filed under the name uncultured bacterium. RNAcentral's name for it is "partial 16S ribosomal RNA". It matches the Rfam family "Bacterial small subunit ribosomal RNA", at positions 338 to 795 of the family's 1533-position model. The record is from RNAcentral.